AAUUAAUGAGCUUGAUAUAAGCGUAUGCUUUGAAAGCAUAAGAUAGUAGUAUAAUCUACUAUUAAUUU
RNAcentral lists this transfer RNA (68 nucleotides) under Chrysoperla nipponensis. RNAcentral describes it as "tRNA-Ser". It matches the Rfam family "tRNA". From Rfam's summary of the family: Transfer RNA (tRNA) molecules are approximately 80 nucleotides in length. The record is from RNAcentral. Lineage: Eukaryota; Metazoa; Arthropoda; Insecta; Neuroptera; Chrysopidae.